GAUGAACGCUAGCGGCAGGCCUAAUACAUGCAAGUCGAACGGGAUCCAGAUCAAAGCUUGCUUUGGUCUGGUGAGAGUGGCGCACGGGUGCGUAACGCGUGAGCAACCUACCCUUGUCAGGGGGAUAGCCCGGCGAAAGUCGGAUUAAUACCGCAUGACAUCAUUGAGAGGCAUCUUUCGAUGAUCAAAGAUUUAUCGGACAAGGAGGGGCUCGCGUGACAUUGGCUAGUUGGUAAGGUAACGGCUUACCAAGGCUGCGAUGUCUAGGGGCUCUGAGAGGAGAAUCCCCCACACUGGUACUGAGACACGGACCAGACUCCUACGGGAGGCAGCAGUAAGGAAUAUUGGUCAAUGGACGGAAGUCUGAACCAGCCAUGCCGCGUGCAGGAAGACGGCCCUAUGGGUUGUAAACUGCUUUUAUACGGGAACAAACGUCGGUACGUGUACCGGUCUGAGUGUACCGUAAGAAUAAGGAUCGGCUAACUCCGUG
This 490-nucleotide ribosomal RNA is filed under the name uncultured bacterium. RNAcentral's name for it is "partial 16S ribosomal RNA". It matches the Rfam family "Bacterial small subunit ribosomal RNA", at positions 28 to 507 of the family's 1533-position model. The record is from RNAcentral.